GUUANUAAGCAACAACUGACGCUGAUGGACGAAAGCGUGGGGAGCGAACAGGAUUAGAUACCNUGGUAGUCCACGCCGUAAACGAUGCUAACUCGUUUUUGGAUUUUCGGAUUCAGAGACUAAGCGAAAGUGAUAAGUUAGCCACCUGGGGAGUACGUUCGCAAGAAUGAAACUCAAAGGAAUUGACGGGGGCCCGCACAAGCGGUGGAUUAUGUGGUUUAAUUCGAUGAUACGCGAGGAACCUUACCAAGGCUUAAAUGGGAAAUGACAGGUUUAGAAAUAGACUUUUCUUCGGACAUUUUUCAAGGUGCUGCAUGGUUGUCGUCAGCUCGUGCCGUGAGGUGUUAGGUUAAGUCCUGCAACGAGCGCAACCCCUGUCACUAGUUGCCAUCAUUAAGUUGGGGACUCUAGUGAGACUGCCUACGCAAGUAGAGAGGAAGGUGGGGAUGACGUCAAAUCAUCACGGCCCUUACGCCUUGGGCCACACACGUAAUACAAUGGCCAGUACAGAGGGCAGCUACACAGCGAUGUGAUGCAAAUCUCGAAAGCUGGUCUCAGUUCGGAUUGGAGUCUGCAACUCGACUCUAUGAAGCUGGAAUCGCUAGUAAUCGCGCAUCAGCCAUGGCGCGGUGAAUACGUUCCCGGGCCUUGUACACACCGCCCGUCAAGCCAUGGAAGUCUGGGGUACCUGAAGUCGGUGACCGUAAC
Molecule: ribosomal RNA, 708 nt
Filed under: Chryseobacterium ureilyticum
Lineage: Bacteria; Pseudomonadati; Bacteroidota; Flavobacteriia; Flavobacteriales; Weeksellaceae
Description: bacterial SSU rRNA
Rfam family: Bacterial small subunit ribosomal RNA
Source: RNAcentral